Molecule: RNA transcript, 889 nt
Organism: Ostrinia furnacalis (Asian corn borer)
Lineage: Eukaryota; Metazoa; Arthropoda; Insecta; Lepidoptera; Crambidae
Exons: 3
Source: RefSeq, a predicted model, not a curated record
AUUUCGUUAAGUAUCCUCAACACUUACUUUGACACAAUGUCAUAAUUUAUCUAUGGGUGUCAUGCCUAUAAUUUGGUUUUGAAACGUAUUAUUUACAUGCCAUAAUGGUAGAAAAAAAUAUUUUUAGUGGCUGGCAACUCUAACUUUGACAUUAGUGAGCCAAAAUGGCGACUAGAAGAUUUGCUCUGCGGACUGCUCAGCAACGACUAAUUCGGAAAUAAACACUACAGAAUUCAAGAUCAAGACGAAUUUUAGCGCUGAUUCCCGAAGAAAACGCUCCUUCUGAUGUUAGUGGGGAAUCAAACUCCGAGAAUGAAGACGAAUUGGCUAAUGUUCAAUUUGGGGACCCAGAGUCUUCCGAACCACCUUCACUUGACUCUUCCUUGGAACGGCUUAAUAUUCUGAAUUCUGAUUCUGAUGCUGAUCAACACCGAAGCUGUACCCCGUCUCCUUCAAUUCUGGCUAAUAAUGGUAAUGUAGACGACAUCAAUACUGAACAUACCUUUGAUUUCACCCUACCAUCCAUAAGUUCAUGCCCUCUUUUGACACCGAUGUCAAACAUACCUUCAAUAACAACUUCAUAUAUACUCGACCAUAUGUCAGACUCCCCCCUGCAAUCUCCACUUGUCGCUUCAUUGUGGCGUGGAUUUAGCGGACAUGCUAAUUGCCCUGUACCGAACAGAAAUAAAGAGCAGGCGCUGGUACUUGUCCAUAUUUUCCCAGUUACUCGAUAUCUGUGUAAAUAAUGCCUGUAGGCCUAACAUGCGCAUCGCGAUAAGCGGUUAUCACGCCAUUUUAUCGAUUUUGCCCAUACAUUUUGACGUCGAUAAAAGUUAUCACAGCGCGCAUCUUAGGCCUACUGGUUGUGUUACCGCCGUGAUCAAAGCCG